AUGAACCGGCGAGUUACGAUUUGAUGCAAGGUUAAGCAGUAAAUGUGGAGCCGUAGCGAAAGCGAGUCUGAAUAGGGCGUUUAGUAUUUGGUCGUAGACCCGAAACCAGGUGAUCUACCCUUGGUCAGGUUGAAGUUCAGGUAACACUGAAUGGAGGACCGAACCGACUUACGUUGAAAAGUGAGCGGAUGAACUGAGGGUAGCGGAGAAAUUCCAAUCGAACCUGGAGAUAGCUGGUUCUCUCCGAAAUAGCUUUAGGGCUAGCCUCAAGUGAUGAUUAUUGGAGGUAGAGCACUGUUUGGACGAGGGGCCCCUCUCGGGUUACCGAAUUCAGACAAACUCCGAAUGCCAAUUAAUUUAACUUGGGAGUCAGAACAUGGGUGAUAAGGUCCGUGUUCGAAAGGGAAACAGCCCAGACCACCAGCUAAGGUCCCAAAAUAUAUGUUAAGUGGAAAAGGAUGUGGCGUUGCCCAGACAACUAGGAUGUUGGCUUAGAAGCAGCCAUCAUUUAAAGAGUGCGUAAUAGCUCACUAGUCGAGUGACACUGCGCCGA
RNAcentral lists this ribosomal RNA (553 nucleotides) under Staphylococcus aureus. RNAcentral's name for it is "partial 23S ribosomal RNA". It matches the Rfam family "Bacterial large subunit ribosomal RNA", at positions 615 to 1167 of the family's 2925-position model. Lineage: Bacteria; Bacillati; Bacillota; Bacilli; Caryophanales; Staphylococcaceae. The record is from RNAcentral.